Molecule: long non-coding RNA, 1236 nt
Organism: Venturia canescens
Lineage: Eukaryota; Metazoa; Arthropoda; Insecta; Hymenoptera; Ichneumonidae
Exons: 3
Source: RefSeq, a predicted model, not a curated record
AAACCUCUCUCUUUCGCUCUCCCGUGAGCCGCGAUGCUUUAUACAGAGAUGUCAAAACGACGCAUACGGCUGCAGCCUCUUGAUACCUCUAAACAAACCCCACCGAUAUAUAUUCUUUAUUAUAUGCUAUUUUUGCGGAUUCAACCGAUUCGCUUAUGAAGGGCGUAUCUCCGGGGGCUAAAGACACAGCUCGGUCUUCGGGAGAAGAUGCUAUACAGGAGAUGGAGCAAUAUGCUCGAAAAUAUGCUUGCACAGGCAUAAACAAAGCUGUCUCACUCGUGCGCGUGCUUUUUCACGCAAACACCGGGGACCAUGCAGAGUACUGUAAAACUUCAGCGACUGCUCCUUUGCCGUCUUGAAAAAAAAAAUAUCGCUAGCAUUUUAAUUAUGAUUCACACCUAUCUUCUCGCUCGAGAUAUGUCAGUAGCGAUUCAACCGUCAUAUAGAGCGGUAUUUAACGAUUACCCCUUACAAUGUCGGAUGAAUCAGUGCGUUCUUGUAUUUUGGGUCUUUUACGCCUAACAAAACCGCAUAGCGCUCAGCUGAGACGUCGGUGUAAUGAUCUAUGGUGUUACGAGCUGCUGCGUUUAUCGGGUGAUCGACUCGUGAACAGACUUAAAUACGUGAUCUGGUGGGCCCCUUUACGAGCUCUAGUGGUGGCCUAUAACAGAGGCAUAUUAAGUGGUCAACGAGUGUUGGGUGUUGUGUAUGAGGAGUUACAGCGCCGCGGUGUUUUAGAAGCUCCCCGCGUAAGAGGCCUUGUCGAUGAAAUCAGAUGUAAGUACCAUUAGCUCGAUAAAUCACUGUUGUUGACGGUUAGCAAUACAGCAGUUAUUUUUACCAUAGGCUAUCGGCAGUUUUACGAUGCGGGAAGUGACGAAGAAGAGGCUCUCGCUGAGGCGACGAGAGCUGCGGAGGAAACGGAUCUAGAGCGUCAAGCCGUCCUCUACCAACCGCAGUAUGAGGAGAGGGCUGAGGAAGAGCCCAGGGCGAGCACCUCGGCAGCAUCGGCCGAACCGAUACCGCUGCAGCCCGAGUCUGAUGACGACGAGGCGUCGACUAUUCUAAACCCCUCCUUGAUGUUUAGCGAUCGGUCUGAUAUACUGGCUGUGUACCGGCAAGCCAGAGCAAACGAUGACGACGGAGCGAUAGCGGGUCCAUCGUAUCACCACCAUCGUCAGCAGGAAGAUGACCUCGUACAGCCCGAGAAUCAGCUGGGGGUGUAUCUGAUGGAUG